UGAGGUUUUGUUAAGUUCAGUCAGAGUCUGAAACAAGCCCUGCAGGGCUAUUUCUGAGGCUGCUACUGCUCGAAAGUAGUAAACUAUAGAUCCCAUGGGAUAGGAUUGCAAGGAGCUAGGGAGCAGGAACAAGCACAGUGCCUUAUGGUACUAAAUUACCCAUAUGCCUGGUCACACAGACAAAAUCUUCCAUAUUCCUUAUGCUACAGUUUAGCUCACCACCAAAUUUUCCCCAUAAGAGCUUGAAAACAAAAUCAGAAAAAAAAAAAAAAAAGUCAAGAUUUAUUGACUGAGACUAGCAAUCGUUAUUUUUGCUUUAGUGAGGAAAAACAUGUUUUAGUCAUUCUUUUAUGUUCUUUUUCACAGCAUGGAAUUCUGCCAAAUUAGGGGCCAUUAGGCCAAAUAGCUUCUCUGUUCCCACCAAUUUAUCGGCCACAUGUGAUAGGGAGGAAUUACAUGGGAUGAAGAGACUCAUCUACGUCAUGGACUUCUAAGCUACAUGACCUCUGACGUUUACAGCACGGAGCACUGGCCUGGAGCACAGUCUUGGGCUCUCUGGUAUUGCAGUGGUCACCAACAGGAAGCAUCUUGCUGUGAAGCUGUUCUCAGAUAUCUCCCUCCUUCAAAGCAACAACACUAUUUGUACCUGCAUUGCUCCCAGAUUGGUUCUCUUAGGAAUUCAGUGUUUUGAUAACUAGAAGUUUUCCUCUAAGUUGCAGUUAAUAUCCACAUGUUUUGCUGCUGCCAUUGCACUCUGGUCAGAGCAGUCUUUACCUUCCUGCCAUUUACCUUGUGAUGUUCAUGGACUGCCUCCCACAUCCUUCCUCUGCUAUGCCAAACUAGCCAUAUCUUUUUGCCACAUUCUUUAAAAGUGUGCUCUGAUCAUAUUUUUGAGUCUUUCAUUGUAGCUGUGACAACUAAAAAUGGCUUGACUUGUUUUCAUGUAUUCUGUUUCACGGUUUCUACUGUAAACUGAGAACAAUGAAACUGAAAAUUUUCUGAGUUUUAUUCAAUUUCAGCAACUAAAACAUUUUUUAAAACAAUCACUAAAUAUUAUAAGAGUGCAACAUCAGAGUAAAUCUACUAUGACUUUUAGGAACUGGCUGUUACUUUAUCUUUCUUUUCUCCCUUCUGUUAUAUUAAUAAAAUCUGAUAUUUUUAUGUUAUUUACA
RNAcentral lists this long non-coding RNA (1172 nucleotides) under Anser brachyrhynchus (Pink-footed goose). RNAcentral's name for it is "lncRNA (ENSABRG00000001582.1)". Lineage: Eukaryota; Metazoa; Chordata; Aves; Anseriformes; Anatidae. The record is from RNAcentral.